This 210-nucleotide long non-coding RNA is filed under the name Ricinus communis (castor bean). Its description in RNAcentral is "long non-coding RNA (RCOM_LNC002032)". The record is from RNAcentral. Lineage: Eukaryota; Viridiplantae; Streptophyta; Magnoliopsida; Malpighiales; Euphorbiaceae.
CGUGAGCUCGUGACAUCUUGAAGACCAUCCUCUGAGCUAGAUAUAUGUAGAAACUUCUGGCUUAGGGACGACGCCCGUAACAUCUUGAAAUACACACUUAAUAUAGGGACUGUGCCUAUCACACAUUGAUCUUAGAGACCAAGCCCGUCCGCAUCUUCAUUUUAGGGCCCAUGCUCAUCAAAAAUUAAUUCAGGGAUAAAGCCUACCUAU